Non-coding RNA from Podarcis lilfordi (Lilford's wall lizard), 74 nucleotides. The record is from the annotation of a GenBank genome assembly. NCBI's taxonomy places the organism in Eukaryota, Metazoa, Chordata, Lepidosauria, Squamata, Lacertidae.
GCCUGAGUAGCUCAAUUGGUUAGAGCAUGGUGCUGGUAACACCAAGGUUAUGGGUUCGAUCCCUGUAUUGGACA